Corvus hawaiiensis (hawaiian crow) is the source of this 4513-nucleotide long non-coding RNA. RefSeq lists it as uncharacterized. The transcript is spliced from 5 exons. NCBI's taxonomy places the organism in Eukaryota, Metazoa, Chordata, Aves, Passeriformes, Corvidae. The record is from RefSeq and is a predicted model, not a curated record.
UCAGGCAGUAACUUUUUCUAUUUGCUCCUGUUCUUUUUCAGUGCCUGUUGUCUGGCAUGUUGAGUCCUAGGCAUUAUUUCCCAGAGCAACUCAAACCAUCUUUACAAGGUUGCUUUUACAUCAAGCUUACAAAUAGGAGCAAUAGGGAAGGCUGACCUGGUUCCUAUCCAUCUGUUCUUAAUAAGUUUAGAUUUUCCUUCCAGAUGGUUUACAGCGAUGUCAGAGGGCCCAUUAAUUGGUGUGCCCGUGUUCAGCUUAGAAAUGCUUGGGAAAUGUCUACACAUGAUAUCCCCACCAUUGUGGGGAGCUUUGUCUUUACCCACUCCCAAGGAGAAGUUUUAUUUCAAUGUGUGUUCUGUAAAUAAUUUUUCUUGGUCUGUAUCUUCAGCUUUGGUCUCCUUACCUGUAUUUUUUUUUCAGUAUCAUUUUCCAUUGACUAAGUCCAAAGGAGGUGUUGGAAGUCACAUUGGUCUCUGCUUAAACAAUUUGUGCACCUUUUCAUUCUUCCUUCUUGCAGGCUCUUUCUGAGUGCAUUUUGCAGAUAGACUUUUGCAACUUCCAAUUUGUUUUUCUGUUAAAAAUUCCUGUAGGUUUAUGGGGCUUUUUUACUAUGUUCUGUAGCAUCCAUCUCAAGCUGUGAUCCAUUCUGUUGUCCUGAAGGCCAGCUGACCUUCAUUUUGUCUCUCAGCUCAAGCAAGUUCUUCUAAGAGUCUUUUUUCCUAUCCUUUUUCCUGUUUGAUCCUCAUACAAACUGAUCUCAUUUUAGCAAUGACAAAACCUGUGCCUUCACGUAACUUAUUUGACUGAAGGUCCUCACAUCUAUCCUAAUGUCUUAAAAAAACCCAUUUUUGUGUUUAUUUGUUUGUUUUGUGGGUUUUUUUGAUUGGUUGGUUGGUUUGGUUUGGUUGGAUUUUUUUCACUGAACAAGUCAAAUUCCUUACUAACAGAAUGUCCUCUGUACAUUUCCUUAGUCAGAAAUGUGAUUAGUUUCACUGCACAAAGUUGUGGGCUACUAACUAAACCUAAACUCUGUGACAAUGCUAUCAAAAUAGUUUUCCUAUACGGAUCUCCUCCACCUGCUGCUAUAUCUGCACAGUCUGAGUAACUCCAUGAUGUGUCCUGCUCAAUGGUUUUUCUUUUCCUUCCCAGAUCGACCUUUGGAUUAGUUUUCUUUUUUUCCCCCUCAACUUUGAGUUCUACUUGUUCCUGUUAACAUGUGGCAUCUAGGCAGUUUCCUGAGCUGAAACAUAAUUAAUGAGGCUCAUAAGUAAUGCUAAAGCUUCUUUUCAUAAUUGGGAAGAAAACUUGCAGGACUCUUCUCUACUAAAUGCCAUCAACCAACAUAAAAAUUAACAUAAUCCUCUAAUGACUGUGAACUCAAGAUGAUUGUGAAAGCUGUUGUUCAUAAAGAGAAGCAGCUCCUUGCAGUGGCACGAGGGACAUGGACUGGGUAGCCAGGUGAUCUAUUCCUGCACCUGUGGAGGUUUUGUUGGGGAACUCAGGCAAAUUCAGAAGUAUUGACUUCUACAGGUGAAAUAUGGUUAACAACCAAAUAAUACUAUUGUUAUCUAACCAGGCUCAGGUGUCUGCUCAGUGCAUAUUCUGUGGGCUGGCACACUCAGAGGGCAGAAAAUGGCAUGCCUGGGUUUGAGCACAGGCAAAACGAAAAUCCAAACCUUUUAGGACUUGUUUUCUUCCCUGAGGAUUUGGAAGCUGGACAAUUUUCUGGGCUGUGAAAUGAUGACAAUAGUCCAGGAAUUCCUGCAGAGUUUGGGUUUCCCUCUCAAGACUGCUGUUAAGCAAACUGCCAGAAACUGAUAAUCUUUUUCUUCUCCCUCCCUGUCCGUGUUCUCACUGCAUGUCUUGUGCCUUGCCUCAGUGUCUCCCCACAUGCAUUUUGAUGUAUUCAGUGGCAUCUCAUAAUUUUACUUAUAUCACUCAUGAGAGGACCAUCAGAGGCUGAUGUCUGAAUGUUGUUUAUUUUCUUAACCAAACCAGAGCCUUUCAAAACUGCUUUAAUCUGAUUUUUUUUAAUAUAUGUUGUGUGUGCAUCUGUGAGGAGAGUGCUCUUUUCUAUUGGGAUUCCUAACAACUUACAGCAGAAGACAGUGCCAGAAAGCUCUCCUACAUGCUGACAAUUUGACCAUUUUGAGACCUUUUUGAGAGCUGUGGUCAUGUUCUCUUUUCUGGUGUGGAAGAGCUGAGGAGAAGGCAGCAAGCACCACAGACUGCCGAGAUGGAUGGGACUCUGGGGAUGCACCAGUCCUCAACUGUGUGUGCUGUGGUGAGGAGGGAGCAGGGUCCAGGAAACAGCUUCUGGUGGGAGGUGGGGUUCAGCUGGAAUGCACUGGGAAACUCCAAGUUGUAGGCAAUUACCUCUGGUUAGCAAGUAAAAUGCUGUUCUGCAAGUCCUUUAAGCCUUUUUUUUUUUUUUUUUAAAUGAUGGAUAAUUCCUCUCUUUUUUUUCUAGUCUCCAAAUAACUGUGCUCUUGCUUUAACCUCUGCACAGUCAGAGAAGACAAUUCAGGCUGACCAGACUGGCACUCUCCAGUUUCAAGCAGGUUAUUGGCAGUAUGAGAUCAACUUCAAAGGAAACUCAGCUCUGAAAACAGGCUGCCUUUACAGAUGGCUUGGGAAUUUGUUGAAAACUCAUUUUAAUGUGAAAGUUCUGGUAUGUGAGAAGAGCUCACUUCCUGCAUACUUCUGCUGAAAAACAAAUCCCAGAAAAUCACCUGCUUUUCCCAUCAAAACCAUCAAAUCUGGAGCCAUCCCCAUCUAUAAACUCACUUGGAAAUAACUCCAGAGCCUGGAUUUGCACCUUCUUCUUCUGAGGAGCCUCUACUCUGCCUCUGAGGGCAGUCAGAGGAGGGUGAAGGGCAUCAGGGAGCAAGGAGGGUGGCACUGCACAAGGGCGGUGAAGGGAGGUGACAUGCACGCGUAAUCAGAUGGCACUGCAGUCGCCAGCAGUCCUUAGUGGGGGACACAGAGAGAAGAGAUGGGCAUAAGAGAGACCCUCCAACCUGCUGUGCUCCAGGGACUGGCAAAGGGUGUGCAGUGACAGGACAAGGGGUGGCAGCUUUAAACUGAAAGAGGGUAAGCUUAAAUGAGAUAUUAGGAAGAGAUUCUUUACUGUGAGGGUGGGGAGGCACUGGAAUAGGAUGCCCAGGGAAACUGUGGAUGCUCCAUCCCUGGAAGUGUUCAAGGCCAGAUUGAACAGAGCUUUGGGCAGUCUGUGGAAGGUGUUCCUGUCCAUGGCAGGAGGGUUAGAACUAGAUGAUCUUUAAGGUCCCUUCCAACCCAAACUAUUCUGUGAUUCUACAAUUCCAGGAAACACAUCAGAGAGACCCUGAUGCAGCUCAGACAUGAGUCCAUGAUCUGACAGGUUUAGAUCACUGGCCUUUCCCCAUAACUUGUAUAGAUGCUAAAUCCAACCUGUCUGUGACACACUGCCAAUUGCUAACAAAUAUCUCUCUGCUUUGUCCAGAACAAGGUGCUGUCCCUAUAACUUCUGCAGAUGUGGUGCCAUGCUUUCAGAUUCACCUGUGCACUUUUGAAUUUCAAGUUGCUUCACAGAAAUACGUGCUAGACUUCAAAGGCAGCACUUCAGGUGACUGUGAGUGUUUUCCCUGUGCUUAUCAUCACAAGAUCAGAGAGGAGAUGGUCUCUUCUUUCAACACCACAAGAAGAGCUUGUGCUGGUUGGAAGUCAGGUAGAAAGAGUACAUGGAAAAGAGAAGCCCGGGCUGGAGGUGAAUGAGUGUCUCCUGUUCCGCAGUACGAAUCCAUCUGAUAUGCCUGCUGCCUGAAGCUGCUUUUCUAGAGAUGCCACUUGUUCUCAUUGAUGCUGUCCCUCCAGCACAGACCACCACAGCACAUUUGUAAGUGAAGUUCUUGUUGGAGAUUUUGUUCAGGGAAACCACAACUACCAUUGCCUUCCAACCAGACCUGAGAUUUCAGACAUUUGAACUGCUUUGUAAAUAAUGAAAAAGAAAUCCUCCCAUCUUUGUCAUUUUUGAGAAGCACCAGAUUUACCUGGCAUACAUCUUGGAGGAUAUGCAUUCAUCCUGAUAAAGAUGAUGUCAGAGGUAACAAUGUCUCACCUGGAAAUAACACUUCAAGGUUCACCUUUUUUGAACUCUGUGUUGCAUAUAAGAACCUCAUAUCUGACAUUCAGCUAUACUGCAGCUGUUUCACUCACAGGAAGGAAACUACAAAUAUGACUUAUGGAAUGGCUGAGUCCACUCUGAGAGUUGUUUUCCUUCUAAACAGGCUGGUAGCAGUUAAAUCAUAAUAAAUAAUACAACCAUUGCAGUGUGGCGAUGAUUUGGAUACAAGUGCAAUAUAGAUUUAAAUGUGCAUUGUGGUUAAUUUCUGAAACUAAUUGCUUCCAUGUAAAGUACAGUACACAAGUAGAUGUUUUUUAGGACAUACUUGGGGAAAUGAAUAUAGAAAUGGGGAAAAUGGAGCAUAAAAAGCAUGUUUGAGGGGUGACUCUCUGGAGUUGUUUUUCCAUG